Molecule: ribosomal RNA, 455 nt
Filed under: uncultured bacterium
Lineage: Bacteria
Description: bacterial SSU rRNA
Rfam family: Bacterial small subunit ribosomal RNA
Source: RNAcentral
UACGGAAGGCAGCAGUGGGGAAUAUUGCACAAUGGGCGCAAGCCUGAUGCAGCCAUGCCGCGUGUAUGAAGAAGGCCUUCGGGUUGUAAAGUACUUUCAGCGGGGAGGAAGGCGAUGUGGUUAAUAACCGCAUCGAUUGACGUUACCCGCAGAAGAAGCACCGGCUAACUCCGUGCCAGCAGCCGCGGUAAUACGGAGGGUGCAAGCGUUAAUCGGAAUUACUGGGCGUAAAGCGCACGCAGGCGGUCUGUCAAGUCGGAUGUGAAAUCCCCGGGCUUAACCUGGGAACUGCAUUCGAAACUGGCAGGCUAGAGUCUUGUAGAGGGGGUAGAAUUCCAGGUGUAGCGGUGAAAUGCGUAGAGAUCUGGAGGAAUACCGGUGGCGAAGGCGGCCCCUGGACAAAGACUGACGCUCAGGUGCGAAAGCGUGGGGAGCGAAACAGGAUUAGGAUAACC